CCUACGGGUGGCUGCAGUGAGGAAUAUUGGUCAAUGGCCGAGAGGCUGAACCAGCCAAGUCGCGUGAGGGAAGACGGCCCUACGGGUUGUAAACCUCUUUUGUCGGGGAGCAAAGCGAGUCACGUGUGACUCAUUGUGAGUACCCGAAGAAAAAGCAUCGGCUAACUCCGUGCCAGCAGCAGCGGUAAUACGGAGGAUGCGGGCGUUAUCCGGAUUUAUUGGGUUUAAAGGGUGCGCAGGCGGAGGUGGAAGUCAGCGGUCAAAUUGCGGGGCUCAACACCGUACUGCCGUUGAAACUGCAUGCCUUGAGUGCGCGAGAAGUAUGCGGAAUGCGUGGUGUAGCGGUGAAAUGCAUAGAUAUCACGCAGAACUCCGAUUGCGAAGGCAGCAUACCGGCGCGCAACUGACGCUCAUGCACGAAAGCGUGGGUAUCGAACAGGAUUAGAUACCCUAGUAGUC
This 459-nucleotide ribosomal RNA is filed under the name uncultured bacterium. RNAcentral's name for it is "partial 16S ribosomal RNA". It matches the Rfam family "Bacterial small subunit ribosomal RNA", at positions 338 to 795 of the family's 1533-position model. The record is from RNAcentral.